Molecule: transfer RNA, 72 nt
Filed under: Chelonia mydas (Green sea turtle)
Lineage: Eukaryota; Metazoa; Chordata; Testudines; Cheloniidae
Rfam family: tRNA
About the family: Transfer RNA (tRNA) molecules are approximately 80 nucleotides in length. Their secondary structure includes four short double-helical elements and three loops (D, anti-codon, and T loops).
Source: Rfam by way of RNAcentral
GGUCCCAUGGUGUAAUGGUCAGCACUCAGGACUCUGAAUCCUACAAUCUGAGUUCAAAUCUCAGUAGGACCU